GAGGUCAUAAUGAAAAUCAUGCCAAAAGAAGACAUUUGCAUUGGAGAACCUUAAGACUUGAUAGCAGUCCAGGACUUAAAAAGGCAAAAUGAUGCCAGUUACAAGAGCAGUUGGGGACCCAUGGGACCAUCUUUGGGUCAGAAUUCCUGAGAAGCAACAAACAUCUGAGAGAAGUCAAGGAAGACAUGCAGCGAGCUGACUUUUUAGAAACUGACAUUAUGAACGAAUGUGCCAAGGAGGUGUUAAAUUUGCACUUGACAUCUAACCAAGAAAAUACAAACACCUGUGUUGUUUGAAAAUCUGACACCAGCACACGAACACAAACAUUUCUGACUGGAAGUAAUGGAAUACUGAGCUCCAUGUGACUUCUCAGGCUGCCGUUUUAACUGUGUUGUGAGGAGCUGAAUUUGAAGAAGAGCAGCCAAGGUGUGUUCGGCCAGAAUAAGCCGCAUCCUAAGGCACUAAAUCACAGAACUCUGUAUCUUCAAAGACCAAGAAAAUCCUGCACCAGAAGUCUGGGAUCUGGCAGUUAGGUGGGAUUAGUUUAACUGUCCUGAACUUCUUGAAGCAUGAAGGUCUGAUGUCCUAACCCUUGGGGCUCUCGUGAGGAAGGUGUUUGCCAUGGCCAUGGAGAAGUCUCCGCUUCAGUGAGCCUCAGGCAGUGACUGAUGAGGGAUCAGAGUGAGUCCAAUUUGGGCUGUUAGAAAAGAAGAAAGAGGAGGAAGGGGAGAGAGGGAGGCAAGUGAAGUAGACAGCUAGCCAUCAUAGUUCCAUGCUUUAGCCUCGCAAAUGCACUUUAGCCUACAUUUCUUUAGCCUAGCAAAUGCACUUCUGUAAGUUACCAUAAAAACUAACAAGGAAAGUUCCCAGAGACUUCCUUUAACUAAUAAUCUGGGCUGUGGUUAAUGAUCCCCCAUGCAAGUUCUUCACUGUGUUACUGUGUGGAAAUGAUUAGGUAGACAAUGGCAGGCCCAAUACAUCUACACAACAUGGGAAAUAGGCUACAUUGUAGGUGAAAUGUGUCGGCCAUGAAAGAACAAACACUGCGCUGUCCCACAUAGCAAGGUUCCCAGAGCAGUCAAGUUCCUAGCCAGGUUAGUAAAGCGAGGGCUGUUGUAAGGAAAAGGGAGGAUGGGAAGUCAUCAUUUAAUAGCUGUAGUGGUUUUUGAAGUGCUUCAGUAUUUUUUGAAGUACCAGACAUUUGCACAGCAAUAAUAAUGCCUAGGAUUGAUUAAAAUAGAAAACUUUAUGUGUAAAGAUGUUUCCACCGCUAAAAAUAAAAUAUUGAUUGUUUCCAAGAUGA
Molecule: non-coding RNA, 1303 nt
Organism: Myodes glareolus (Bank vole)
Lineage: Eukaryota; Metazoa; Chordata; Mammalia; Rodentia; Cricetidae
Source: RefSeq, a predicted model, not a curated record